This 250-nucleotide ribosomal RNA is filed under the name uncultured bacterium. Its description in RNAcentral is "partial 16S ribosomal RNA". It matches the Rfam family "Bacterial small subunit ribosomal RNA", at positions 524 to 773 of the family's 1533-position model. The record is from RNAcentral.
GACAGAGGGGGCGAGCGUUGUCCGGAGUGACUGGGCGUACAGCGCGCGCAGGCGGACCCGAACGUGCCAUGUAACAGCCCUGCGCUCACCGCAGGGUGGCCAUGGUAGACGUCGGGUCUGGAGGCAGGGAGAGGGAUGUGGAAUACCCGGUGGAGCGGUGAAAUGCGUAGAGAUCGGGUGGAACACCAGUGGCGAAGGCGGCAUCCUGGCCCUGACCUGACGCUGAGGCGCGAGAGCGUGGGGAGCAAAC